GCUGGGCUACUGUCUGUUACCAUAACUUUCACUGACGGCAAACACAUAUACUCACACACACUCAUGGAUCUCUCACCGACUUAGGCUUGCUGGCUCAUUGACUUACCAUUAAAACAAAGAGCCUUCAUUAGUUAGGAUGUCCCUCCUAAAAGGAUACCAACUGUGCAUAUUUGUCUGCGUGUGUGUGUAUGUGUGUGUGUGUGUAUCACAGGGUUGUUGUCUGAGACAUACGCAUCUAACCACUCAACCGGUCUCCGGCACAACAUGCACCCACAAAGGCGUAUUCAUUAGCAAGAGGGGUGCCAUUCCCCGGCACUUGGAAACUCAGUGGAGCGUUCAUGGCUGUGGCUGGAUGUAGAAAAUAAAAACAGAUUGGGGGAGAUUCAGACGAACGGAAUGGAAGAAUGCAAGCGGAACAUUAAAGAGCAUUCCAGAACAGAGUGUUAGCAAGAGACAAUCAGCUCCGGUCAGGGACAAACAGGAACGGAAAUGAAUUCAGGCAGAAAGAUCAGACAUUUUCCAGGCUAGAAAUUUUACAACAGGAAGGACGAAUAAUGACAGAAAUUAUGUUCAGUGGCUUGGACAUAAUAUAAUGUGGCUCUGAGGUGCAAAAUACAUCAACAUUGGAAAAAGCACAACAGCAAACUAGAAAAAACAACAAGUUGAAAACACAUCUCACAAAAUGGAAAAGAAACCUGUACCUCCUUUUCUACAACUCCCUCCUCACCUUCUUCUUCUCUGCCCCUCCUGCACUCUGCUUCUAUCCUCCUCUGAAUCCACCUGAGGACUGAAAGGUGGUGCAUUCAAGGUCCCGACUUCAGAUUUUCAGAGGGAGAGCACAGGGGGCAGGUGAGGCGAGAGGGGAAGUGGUGUGAGUGAGAGGUGAAAUUUGAAAUGCAGUUAAAGACGUUGGAGGAAUUGGAGGGAGAUGGAGGAGAGGAGACAGUAGGUGGAAAGGGUGCAAAAGUGAUAAUGUUCACAGGUUGUGCAAACAUAUGGAUGGGGGAUAGACACAAGAGUAAGAGAGAGCAAAAUCCAGAGGGGCGGACAGACAGACAGUAAGAGAUGUACAGCAGGUAAAAGAGAUAAUAAAGACAUGGAGGAAAGUGAGACAGCAAAAAUGAUGGAGGCAAGGAGAGGGAUGUUUAUCCUCCCCAUGAUCAUGUAGCCGUCUGUCUCUCAUUUAGCCCAAGGUUCUGAUUAAGUCGUUUGUGUUUAAAGAGGAGGAAGCCUCUAAUUCCCCUCCUUUCAUCUAAUUUAAUUAUGUGCUGACAUUCUCCCUUUCUUCCUUAGAAGGAUAAAAGCAGCUUAAGCUUUUAUGUGGAGCUUUAAUGACAGCGGCGAGGAAACUUUACUCGCUGAUUGCUUAGCCUUAAGUGUGUUUAGCCUUAACACAGCGCUGCACCAAACACAGUUGUAUAUGCGCUCUCUCAGACACACAUACUGUAUUUCACAUCGUGUUUGUCGCAAACAGGCACACAGCGACUUGGAUACACGCC
Thunnus maccoyii (southern bluefin tuna) is the source of this 1499-nucleotide long non-coding RNA. RefSeq lists it as uncharacterized. NCBI's taxonomy places the organism in Eukaryota, Metazoa, Chordata, Actinopteri, Scombriformes, Scombridae. The record is from RefSeq and is a predicted model, not a curated record. The transcript is spliced from 4 exons.